This is a long non-coding RNA of Astatotilapia calliptera (eastern happy), 5780 nucleotides long. The record is from Ensembl. NCBI's taxonomy places the organism in Eukaryota, Metazoa, Chordata, Actinopteri, Cichliformes, Cichlidae.
ACGAUAUAAUUGACACUGGACAAAAUACUUUACAACUCCUCAACUUUAUUAGUGCAAAACCAUCAAUGUAUGUUCACUUAAUCAACCAGCUGUUUUUUUUAAUCUGCAUUAAAGUUAUAUAAACAUUUAACAGUGCAAAUUGCUCGCUAACAGUUUAACCAAAAGGCAUUUCCAGUGGAAACCGGCCGACAUAUCCUCAGCAUAACCAUGUACAACAUCCACAAACCUUAAAAAGAGGCUCUACACACACAAUACAGUAAUAGACCCUGUGCACGAGACAAUGCUAACUUCCUGGUUUGAGACCGGAUGUGGGGUUGUACAUUUCCGGUAGCUUUACUUUGCGGUCAAUCGCUACUGCGAAGAUAUAUCCUCCACAAUCAUGUCCAAAACUCUAAAACGGAAAGAUGGUGUUAAGUUACAAAGAGAAGGUGGGAACGCUCACCGCUGCUGUGUCAUAAAAAAUCUAAUGAUCAGUUUAAAGAGUUUAGAUCGAUCAGCUGUUUACUUCACUCAACACAAGCAGAACUGCAUCGCUGCAGCAGAAGACACAUCGUCCACAUGCAGAAGCACAUCUCUGUGUAGUGACUGGUCUCAUGAUCUAAACAGGCAAAUGUUCAGCAUUCAAACUACAGGUGAAGAACAGUCAAACCAGAUGUUUCCCCGUUAUGUCGAGAUCAGCUCGUCAAGUACACACCUACACCUCCUUCUUGAGCUCUCAGCGAAGGCGGUCGCACUUUCUCCUCUCCUCCUCACCCUUAUCUUCCCUGCUUCGCCUCUAUGUCCUUGUCUUGUCUUGUGUGAAUUUACUUUCCCUGGAACAGUCUCUCACUGUCGUUCUCUAAACCUAAAAGAGAAUUAUGGAUUUGAUCAAAAGACUGACAACACCACGGAACAGAAGUUUGAUACCAUCAUGGGGAGGCUCGCAGCUCUUCAACGGGAGCUCGAGAGACCAGCCUCGGAGUGCUAGAAUUCGAGCUGCUCACAAAGGAGAAAUCAACAAUAUUCAACAUUUGGACACCACGGCGCCAGCUGCAGGCCCAAGGCUGGAGCCCACCAAAACAACUCCCUGAUAACGACUGUGUGAUGACUAUUCUUCCCGCCCCAUGAAGGACACCUGGAUUGGCUGGAGGACUGUUUACUUAGCCUGAUAGGCCGAAGGACACUGUCUCAGCUAAACUAUGGACACGCACACACACACACUUACACUGAUAAGCACUCACUCAUCCCCCUCCCUUUCCAACGCCUUCGAUGCUUGUGCCCUACCGGGGAUGAUAGCAGUCAACUGGACCAGCACAGAUGCUGCAGGACCGGAUGCGCUGUCUACGCCGGCUCUCUCUUACCCUUUACCCGCCCCUGUUGCUUGUCUCGUGUUUCUAUGGUGUAUUGAUAGUCAUGUGCUUUUGUGCUGAGGUGUUUUUUCUGUUAUCAAACUGUUCUUCCACCAGGAGCUCAGUCUGAGUGGAGUUUUUUUUUCUCCUCCUCUCACCUCAUGUAGUGUAUUUUCGUUGUUUUUUUCCUAUCAGCCUACCUUUCUGACAUGUCUGCCCAAUGUGAUGUUUGUGUAAAGUUGGUCAGAAGGUUCCUUUGUGAGUGCGCAUGCGCCAUUAGCGUGCUGCCUGCUGUAACCCUAAUUUCCCUCGGGAUGAAUAAAGUAUUCUGAUUCUGAUUCUGAUACACAGCAUGUUAACAAACCGUGAAAAAAGCCACACAAAAAACGAAUGACUGCUGGUAACGGUUUCUAUACAUUAGUAUGUAGGAAGGGUAUGUUGUGACUUACCUUCAAAAUUACAGCGGUCCCUCGCUAUAACGCGCUUCACCUUUCACCUCGCUGUUUCAGAUUUUUUAGUGCAAGUUUGCUUAUUUUUACAGCACAUUGUGUCCUGCGUCCUGAUCGCUGCAGACGAUCUCCUCUGUCUCUCCUGUACAGCACAGAAUUGCUGCAUCGAUGCUAGCAGUGUGACUCUGCAGUGCAGUGCUGUAUGUCCACGAUGUCCACCAAACGUUUUGCAUCGUCAAAAAUAAAAUCGGCUCCUUGAUUUCACCUCUCGCUGGUUAUUUUUAGAACAUAACACCCGCGAUAAACGAGGGACAGCUGAGAAAUAUAACAUUUGAAUCCCUUUUCUCUUUUGCUCUGAGGCGCGGGGGAAAUAUCAACAAGUCGAUGAACAUCAUUUACAGAUAUGUUGGGUAAAUGCCCGAGACAUCUAUAGAAAUGUAAAUCGCCGCUUGAUUCAUUUGCUUAACUUGUUUUGGACCGUAAACCAGGCGCGAAUAGGACACCGGAAACACAGCUCCCCACAGGAGUUUCCACACCGGAAGUAGCAUAUGCUAACGUGCACAUAGUCUAUAUUAUGUUGAAGCACACUACGUAUCACUCCGCGAGGCUCCGCCUACGAUAGCCGUAACGCUCCAACAAUCCAUCAAGCGGUGCGGCUUCGUAGCUCAGCAAAGUCGUACUGAAACAUCUGACAGAUUUUCGAGCACCGUGCACAUAAAAUCGUUUCGAGGUCAGUAAACACAACCAGAGUUCAUACAUAAGGCACACGGGAUUAUAAGGGGCUCUGUCGACUUUUCAGAUUUUAAGUGCGCCGUAUUUUCCAAACAACACGGUAAUAACGGCGGCCCGCUAGCAUGCUCCACCAAAAAUAGUGCUUUGUUGUGUAUCUGACGGACGAAAGCUAAACCAGUUCCACACCAGUGAAGCUGCAGCAUUUUUACAAACCAGUUCUGGUUCAUCCGUUUCAUUCAACGAUCCACUUUCGUCCUCCUCAUUCUGCGUCGCCGCCAUGAUUUUUCCGCCGUGUGCGUAUGAAAACAAAGGCACUGCGCAUGCACGUUUUACCCAUAUUCUAUCGCCAUGUUUCAUUUUCCUAUCAUUGCCCAACAUGACACCGGUGCUACCGUGAGCGGUAUGAUAAGAUAAGAUAACUUUUAUUAGUCCCACACGUGGGAAAUUUGUUUUGUCACAGCAGGAAGUGGACAGUGCAAAAGUUAUGAAGCAAAAAUUAGAAUACAAUAAGAAUAAAUACAGUACAGAAUAGAAUAGAAUAAAUACUAUAUACAUUAGAAUAAAAUAGAAUAAAAUAUACAAUAAGAUAAAAAUAGAAUACAAAUGCUAUACAACUGAGUAAAAAUACGAUGCCAGAAAAGUAUUGCACAUGUGUGGAUGUGUUUGAUCAGUUAAAGUCUUUGUUGUGGAGUCUGACAGCAGUGGGGAGGAAAGACCUGCGAAAUCUCUCCGUCCCACACCGUGGGUGCCGCAGUCUCCCACUGAAGGAGCUGCUCAGUGCUGUCACAGUCUGCUGCAUGGGGUGGGAGAUGUUGUCCAUCAGGGAUGACAGCUUAGCCGCCGUUCUCCUGUCACUCACCACCUCCACUGGGUCCAGAGGGCCUCCUAGAACAGAGCUGGCCUAGCCCUACUGUCACAGUUCAGCGUUGUUUGUCCGUCGCUUCUCCCGCCCUGAUCUCUGUCCUUCAGUCCAGCGUCAGUAAUGGAAAUGAACCAACGGGCUGUCCGGCUCACAGCAGGUAAUCUGCCUGGUAUGCCAGAUUACCCGUCCGGUGCCGGGAGGCAGACGGCUUGAGUGGAGGCUGACGGAGAGGCGAGUUUCCUAAAAGAGAUCAGCCUUGCGAUGUUACCGCACUUCACUGAGGCUCAGCCUUCAGCAGGUGUUUUGGAGACUGCUGAUCAGAAUUAUUGAUGGUUACAGAUGUAAAAAGGACCCCGUGGGUCUCUGUGUCACAGUGUACUGUAAUCCAGAUGUGACAGUAGCGAAGGUGUCCAGCAGGUGUGGCUGUGGAGCUGCUGUCAGGUGCAGUUCUGCCUCAGCGUCUCAGGCCCUCACAAACACAAACACUGUAGCUCCCUAACAACUGAAACCAUGUUGUGGACUCAGCUAAACUACAUUUAUUGUUUUUAUUUGUUAAUUUGAUAAAAUUCCUUUAUGGGCGUGUUUAUUGUGUUCGAAUAUCUUUGCUGCAUUUUAUAAAUCUGGCGUUUGUCAUAAAUACAGUGAUAUUGGAAAAAAGACAAACGAAUGAAAAGCCACUCUGGAAACCUGCUGAAGCUGAAGCUCAAAAUGAAGACUAGUAAGAAAAUAGGGGGCGGGGCUUUAUUCAUGUUUGAAUGCCUUUGAGACUCCGAACGUUUAUUUCAGUUUUUCUUUGCUGACUCUGCAGACUGUAAUGGAGGCUCCGGCCAGCAGGGGGCAGCAGGGGGCAGCAGGUGGUUUUACCUGAAGUCAUUACAGCUGAAGUUCUGUGUCUGUGAAUGAUGCAUGCUGGGAAAACGGACCGAGAGCCGCUGUGACAUCGGCACAGGUGGCUCUGCUCUCUGAUUUGAUCCUGAGCUGUGAUGUCAUCGGUGGCGCCUCAGCCACAAAGUUUCCUGACGGCGUCCUGUGUGAGCGCGGUGUCGGGAUGGUCUGUGGCUGUGCCGCAGUAAAGAGGAGGAGUUCUGAUCACGCGCCUCUGCGGUCUGUGAGCUCUGAUCCAGACUCUCCCAGCUGUGUCGUUCCAGCCAGUUUGGGACAAUUUGUUUUUAAUUUGCUGUUUAAAUGUUUUUAAACAGCCAAAUGCAGCAAAUCUCACACUGAUCAAAACUCUGCAAACUAAUGUUCAGUAUAUUUAUUUAUGCAUGGGAAUGAAAAAACUGGAAAUAAAUUAUUAAAUAUAUGAAUGAUUAAAUUACAGUUCUAUUAAUUUGACACACUUGUUCAAAUUUAAAUAGACUGGCGAGGAAAUGAUUAAGACGUAAACCUGAGGGGGGCUAAAUAAGUAUAAACAUAAGUGUAUACUUCUGCCUACUGCUUUUCAAACAGCUGAAUGGAUGAUGUUAUGGACUGUUGGUGAAUGUAUAUGUUCGAAAUAAAAAUGAACUGAACAUUGAAUAAAUUACUGAUUUACAAUUUAAAUUCAUGACACAUUUAAAAGAUUAUUUAAUGAUGUGUUUGAUUCAUUUUGGGACUCCUGGCCCUCCAUAUUAAAUGGUUAUGGGAGAUGCCCCCAAGGGUGGUGGAGAAUGACCGAGCUAAGAUCCUGUGGGACUUCCAGAUACAGACGGACAAAAUGGUGGUGGCUAACCAACCGGACAUAGUGGUGGUAGACAAACAGAAGCAGACGGCCGUAGUGAUCGAUGUAGCGGUUCCCAAUGACAGCAAUAUCAGGAAGAAGGAACACGAGAAGCUGGAGAAAUACCAAGAGCUCAGAGAAGAGCUCGAGAGGAUGUGGAGAGUGAAGGUAACGGUGGUCCCCGUGGUAAUCGGAGCACUAGGUGCGGUGACUCCCAAGCUAGGCGAGUGGCUCCAGCAGAUCCCGGGAACAACAUCGGAGAUCUCUGUCCAGAAGAGCGCAGUCCUGGGAACAGCUAAGAUACUGCGCAGGACCUUCAAGCUCCCAGGCCUCUGGUAGAGGACCCGAGCUUGAAGGAUAAACCGCCCGCAGGGGCGUGCUGGGAGUAAUUAUGUAUAUCUGUAUCUCAUAUAUACAGUGUUGGUCAAGUUACUUGAAAAAAGUAAUUAGUUACUAAUUAUUAAUUACUUCUUCAAGAAUGUAAUCCUGUUACUUUCCUGAUUACUUACUUUCAAAAGUAAUACUUAGUUACUUUUAAAAAACAUGAUGCUCCACCUGAAUAUGUAGUAAAGCAACAGACCCUUCAGCCCAGUUCUAUUUAUUCUGCAUAAUCAUCAUAUAAAAGUCUCUUUUUAAAACUUGUUUUACUCUGUUAACUUGAUGCAUCCAGCAAAAACUAAAUUCUGACUGAAGAAGCGUGUUUAACACUG